Molecule: ribosomal RNA, 253 nt
Filed under: uncultured bacterium
Lineage: Bacteria
Description: partial 16S ribosomal RNA
Rfam family: Bacterial small subunit ribosomal RNA
Source: RNAcentral
UACAGAGGUCCCAGGCGCUGUUCGGAUUCACUGGGCGUAAAGGGUGCGUAGGUGGCAGGAUAAGUUUGAUGUGAAAUCUCCGGGCUUAACCCGGAAACUGCAUUGAAUACUAUUUUGCUCGAGGGUUGGAGGGGGGACUGGAAUUCUCGGUGUAGCAGUGAAAUGCGUAGAUAUCGAGAGGAACACCAGUGGCGAAGGCGAGUCCCUGGACACCUCCUGACGCUGAGGAACGAAAGCUAGGGGAGCAAACAGG